CAUAACAUAAUGCUGAACAUACCAGGUCUCAUCUGAUCUCAGAAACUAAGCAUCGUGGGGCCUCAUUAGCACUUGGAUGGAGGCUCUAUUUCUAUUUAUGCAACCCUGGGAGGUGGGUACUGUUAUUA
RNAcentral lists this ribosomal RNA (128 nucleotides) under Phascolarctos cinereus (koala). Lineage: Eukaryota; Metazoa; Chordata; Mammalia; Diprotodontia; Phascolarctidae. The record is from RNAcentral.